This 1765-nucleotide long non-coding RNA is filed under the name Sus scrofa (pig). RNAcentral describes it as "lncRNA (ENSSSCG00040066483.1, ENSSSCG00060077580.1)". Lineage: Eukaryota; Metazoa; Chordata; Mammalia; Artiodactyla; Suidae. The record is from RNAcentral.
UUUGUGCUGUAGGUCAAUCUGAACAGCUGUAUUCAACCACAACUUUCUUUUCUUUUUUCAACAUUUCAUAAUCUUCUGUUCCCUCAAGAAGGUUGAGAAAUUCUGGAAGGAAAAACUCUUAGUGGCAUGUUUAUACUACUUUUAUAUUGUAUAAAGAAAUUAACUUCUCACUAGCCAAGUACUGGACUGCAGUCAGUACUGAAGUAUAUAGGAGAGAGAGGGGAACUACUGUUAAAGAAUGACAGGGCUUUGACCAAGAGUAAAACUAAGAAGAGGAAAAAUGCGAUGCAAGAGUGCCCCAAUGAUAGAAAUCCAAAUGGGUGGUUUGGGAGUAUAAAGCAACUUAAGAGUGAGGCUUUCUGAGAAAAGACUGUGUUAAAAAGUGUGAAACUGUAAAGCCAUCAAGCCCUAAACUAAUCAAUUUGUUGUUUCUUCUCUAAAGGAAGAAUAGUAAUGAAAGGGACUUGGUCAGCUUGAGGUCUUAAUUAGAGAGAGCUAGACUAGCUUAGAGUUUAGCACUUAGCACUGUCUUGGAAGGAGCAAACCUAUGUUAAUUAACCACCUCUCAGCUGUACUUAGACCAUUGACUUUCCUUUGUUUGAUGUUUUGCUACUGAGUUAUUAGUCCCUGAAAAUUAAUAUCGUCUACUGUAAAUUAACAGACAUAAUUUUAGUUCAAGGGGGAAAGAAGUGGGGUGGACUGGGAGUUUGGGGUUAGUAAAUGCAAACUAUUACAUUUAAAAUAGAUAAACAAUAAGGUCCUACUGCAUAGCACAGGGAGCUAUAUCCGAUCUUCUGGUUCAGACCAUGAUGGAAAAUAAUAUUUAAAAAAAGAAUGUAUGUAUGUAUGUGCGUAUGUAUAUACUGACUAAGUCACUUUCCUGUACAGUUGAAAUUGGCACAAAUCAACCAUACUUUAGUAAAAAAUAAAAUAAUUUUAGUUCAAAAAUCUUUUUUUAGGAGAGAUGGUGUAGUGUAAUGACGAAGAGUGUAAGUGUCACGGAGUGUGACAGAGUGGGGUUUGAAGCUUGGCUCCACUAUUAAAGAGCUGACUACUUUUAACCAAGUUUUGAAUCUCCUGGUACUUCAGCUUGCUCAUCUGCAAAAUGUGAUUUAAUAAUAGUACCUUGUCUCAGAUGUUAGUAUUGGAUGAGUUAAACCAAGUAUGUAACAUUGCAUACUGUCUAGCACACACAGAGUGUUCAAUAAAUGUUAGCUGUUAGUAAUAGGAGGAGAAGGAGCAGCAGCAGUUUGAUUAACCUUUGCAGUUGCUAAAAAUUUGAUAGGAGUUGGGCACUUGACAAAAUUAAAGUUUCUGCAAAGCUGAGGACUAGACUCUGGAACAUGGUUGUGAUCAGCUUUGGACAUGCCUGAGAUAUCUUUGUCUCUUUACUCAGUGAUUUCAGUAUGGGAAAUUGCCACUUUUCUUUUUUGACCCAAUCCACAUAGAGGAAAAUAUUCUGGCACAUGUAACAUGCAAAUACUUAGAAAUUGUCUUCAUGAAAAGUAAAUUUCCACAAACCCCAAAAUCAAAUUCUGAAACUUUCUUAAGGGUUCUAUGCAAAAGUAUUUGGCUAUAGAUGUUUGGGCUCAGCAGAAACAAACCCAACUAGUAUUCAUGAGGAUGCAGGUUGGAUCCUUGGCCCCUCUCAGUGGAUUAAGGAUGGGGCUCAGAUCUGGCGUUGCUGCAGAUGUGGUGUAGGCCAGCAGCUGCAGCUCUGAUUCAACCCCAAGCCUGGGAACUGUCAUGUGCCUCCCCUAUGGCC